GGGAGGCGGCGGAAUCGCAUUUCUCCCGCUAAAGCGUUCGCGGAGACUUCAAGGUAUAAUCUAUCCCAGAUCCUUUCCCAGAGAGAAACUUGGCGAUCACGUUUCCACAUGAUGCUCACGUUUGGUGCUCUUCAAUUAUCCCUCCCCACAAAGAUAGGUGGCGUGUGUUUCAGGGUCUCUCCUCUCGCUCCUACAGAAAAGAAAAAGAAAAAAAUGUCAUUAGAAGAGGCGUAACACGUCAGUCCGUCCCCAGGAGCUGCAUCUCCCUUCACCUUUUCUCCUCCACUUCGCGGCUUCUUCAUGCUUUUUCUUCUCACCAUUUCUGGCCAAAACUACAAACAAGACUUCGCAGAGCCUGCGUGCUGCUGAAGCAGGGAGCCGAGCCCAUGCGAACUGCCAUCUGAUCCACUCUUAUCAAUGAAGCAGCAGAUCAUGGCGGAUGGCCCCAGGUGUAAG
This 456-nucleotide long non-coding RNA is filed under the name Apteryx rowi (Okarito brown kiwi). RNAcentral's name for it is "lncRNA (ENSARWG00000002200.1)". The record is from RNAcentral. Lineage: Eukaryota; Metazoa; Chordata; Aves; Apterygiformes; Apterygidae.